AUUGAACGCUGGCGGCAUGCUUUACACAUGCAAGUCGAGCGGCAGCGCGGGGGCAACCCUGGCGGCGAGCGGCGAACGGGUGAGUAAUGCAUCGGAACGUAUCCUCGAGUGGGGGAUAACCCAGCGAAAGUUGGGCUAAUACCGCAUGAGCUCUGAGGAGGAAAGCGGGGGACCUGCGAGGGCCUCGCGCUGGAGGAGCGGCCGAUGUCCGAUUAGCUAGUUGGUGGGGUAAAGGCUUACCAAGGCGACGAUCGGUAGCUGGUCUGAGAGGAUGAUCAGCCACACUGGGACUGAGACACGGCCCAGACUCCUACGGGAGGCAGCAGUGGGGAAUUUUGGACAAUGGGGGCAACCCUGAUCCAGCCAUGCCGCGUGAGUGAAGAAGGCCUUCGGGUUGUAAAGCUCUUUCGGACGGAACGAAAUGGGCGGGACUAAUACUCCUGUCUGAUGACGGUACCGGAAGAAGAAGCACCGGCUAACUACGUG
RNAcentral lists this ribosomal RNA (486 nucleotides) under uncultured bacterium. Its description in RNAcentral is "partial 16S ribosomal RNA". It matches the Rfam family "Bacterial small subunit ribosomal RNA", at positions 29 to 507 of the family's 1533-position model. The record is from RNAcentral.